AUUAAUCAUAUUAUGUUGAUAAUUAAUAUAUUUUAUUAUAAGUGUAUGUUUUUAUAUAUUUAUAAUGUUAUAAUAUGUUAAUAUUGAUAAUUUAUUAUUAAACCGCUGCAAUAUCUUAUAAUCAACCAGUCGCAAAUAUCCCGCAAAUGCAAUAAUUUUUAAACGUUGUGCCAGUCAUACAAAACGCUUAAUAACGCUUGAAACCGCAACCACCCGCAUCCGCAAACUUCCACACCCACAACCGCAACCGCUGCGUUUAAACCAGUCGGGCCCUUAGUUGUCAUCUUUUCUUAAAUUUUAUAGGGUCGACGAUCUAUUUCCCCACGAUAACUAUCAUACAACAUUAGAUCUCCACCAAACUAAUACCUCAUGCUAAAUCCCCACGAACCUAAAUUUGUAAAUUUAUUUCUCCAUGAAUCGAUGAUUUGAAACAUAAUUAUCCAUAAAUAAUAGUUUUUAAUCGGUUUAUUGGUUUUAAUCGGUUUAAUCUUAACCAAAAAAUUUUAAAUUAAUUAAAACAAACAAAAACUUAAUUAUAUAUAUAUUUAAAGCAAAUUGAUCAUCUUCUUCACGAAACUUGAGCAUAUAUACGAAUCUAAACCUCUCCUCUCAAAUCUCAAAUUCAUUGUCAUGGCUUCCUCUAACAACUACGCUGGAAUCCUGCUCGGAAUGGGAAACCCACUCCUUGACAUCUCUUCCCUCGUCGACGACGAGUUUCUCACCAAAUCCGACGUCAAGUUGAACUAUGUGAUUCUCGCUGAGGAGAAACACUUGCCGAUGUAACCAUUGCUUUUGCUCUGCGUUUGAUAUUCGAAUAUAAACUGUAUACUAUAAUCUGUGACAUUUUGGGUCCAAAUUCGUUUGGUUGAUGAUUGAC
Molecule: long non-coding RNA, 877 nt
Organism: Brassica napus (rape)
Lineage: Eukaryota; Viridiplantae; Streptophyta; Magnoliopsida; Brassicales; Brassicaceae
Exons: 2
Source: RefSeq, a predicted model, not a curated record